This 66-nucleotide transfer RNA is filed under the name Aquatica sp. a XF-2022. Its description in RNAcentral is "tRNA-Met". The record is from RNAcentral. Lineage: Eukaryota; Metazoa; Arthropoda; Insecta; Coleoptera; Lampyridae.
AAAAAGAUAAGCUAAAUAAAGCUUUUGGGUUCAUACCCCAACAAUAAAGACCUUCUUUUCUUUUUA